Molecule: long non-coding RNA, 286 nt
Filed under: Mytilus galloprovincialis (Mediterranean mussel)
Lineage: Eukaryota; Metazoa; Mollusca; Bivalvia; Mytilida; Mytilidae
Source: RNAcentral
CUGGGUUGUACUAAACCAAAAGGCUAAGUCAUAAGAGACAAAUCUGCAGUAAUACAUGUCACAAUACCUGUACAAAAAUUGUUGGGCCUUUUCAUAUCCGUUCCAUUCAUACUAUCUAACACUACACUCUAAUCAAGUGCAGGGCUGCCAAGUCUCACUCAUUCAGUGCGAGACUCACACAUUUGCAUGCUUAUUUGGUGGCAUUUUCCUUUGAUCUAUUGUUUUUUUCUCACUGAUCUUUACAAUUUUGGUUUCAUUCUCAUGCACUUUCUUCAUUAAAAGUUGG